GUGUCAGCAGCCGCGGUAAUACGUAGGGUGCGAGCGUUGUCCGGAAUUAUUGGGCGUAAAGAGCUUGUAGGCGGUUUGUCGCGUCUGCUGUGAAAUUUCGGGGCUUAACCCCGAACUUGCAGUGGGUACGGGCAGACUAGAGUGUGGUAGGGGAGACUGGAAUUCCUGGUGUAGCGGUGAAAUGCGCAGAUAUCAGGAGGAACACCGAUGGCGAAGGCAGGUCUCUGGGCCAUAACUGACGCUGAGAAGCGAAAGCAUGGGGAGCGAACAGGAUUAGAUACCCUGGUAGUCCAUGCCGUAAACGUUGGGAACUAGGUGUGGGUCUCAUUCCACGAGAUCCGUGCCGCAGCUAACGCAUUAAGUUCCCCGCCUGGGGAGUACGGCCGCAAGGCUAAA
RNAcentral lists this ribosomal RNA (396 nucleotides) under uncultured bacterium. RNAcentral's name for it is "bacterial SSU rRNA". It matches the Rfam family "Bacterial small subunit ribosomal RNA", at positions 505 to 898 of the family's 1533-position model. The record is from RNAcentral.